GUAAUGACUCAGUCAUACAUGUACAUACACAAACCAUACUAAAAAGCUUGGUUUCUACUCAAUUAGAUUCUCCAGCAACAGACAUCAGGAUCCUACUCUGGAUCAUCCUCCGGGUUCUCCUUUAGAUACUCCUCUUCGAGUUCUUUCUCCUCAGGGUUUUCCUCGUCAGGUUCCUCCUCCUUAAGCUCCUCAUCCGGGUCCUGAAAUGGUUAUUCAAUAACCACUGAGACAACGUCUCAGCAAGUUCUACCCUCUAAGAUCCGAUUAGUAAACUAAUACACCUUAGGGCUGCCUAGCACAACAUGAGUCAGAGGACUUACCUUAGCCUCAGAUUCCACCUGCAUAUUAGUACAGAUCGAAUAGGCACACUAGCAAUCACAUCACAGAUCGAAGCAUCGAUCUAAUCGACAUAGUCGAUUACAUGUCAACAAGACCACUCACGGUCAUUUCCAUUAUUCCAACCAAUUUACAACAUCAAUUCAAGGCAAUGAUUAAUCGACCUAGUCGAUUACAUCUCAAUCAACCAUUCACCGAUCAUUCUAUUCAAUCAAUCAAUUCACAACAUCAGAUUAAAGCAAUGAAUCACAUCUAAUCACACUCAGAUCAAAUCAUCGAUCAAUCGACCUAGUCGAUUACAUGCCAUCACGACCCAUGCUUGGUCGACACAUUCAAUACUAUCUAUAAGUCCGACCAUAGUCCAGGACUGCUCACUCUAAGCUGAUAUAUAGAUAGUAUAGCUCGCACUAAGCUGAUAGGGUUAAGGUAUACUGCUCUCGCUAAGCUGACAUAUCGCCCGUAGGCUGAUGUAGUAUACCGGUAUACUGCUCUCGCUAAGCUGACAUAUCGCCCGCAGGUUGAUAUAGUAUACCCCCGAUGCUCACACUAAGCUGAUAAAGUGUACUGCUCGCGCUAAGCUGACAUAUCGCCCGUAGGCUGAUAUAGUACACCGGUAUACUGCUCUCGUAAGAUGACAUAUCGCCUGCAGGCUGAUAUAGUAUACUAUCCGACCAUUCAAUCCAUUCCAUCUUUUAUCAUUCUCGAUAAAAUAGCCGUGUGUGGGGACACGGUCGGCCUUAGCCAAAAUAUAAUAUUUUCCUUUCCAUAACUCCCACAUUUUCUGUAGUCCACUCAAAUAUUUUUGGCAUUAUUAAUCGAUGCCCGGUUAUUCUUCAAUUAAUAACCAAAGAUGAUUCAAUUUAGGAAUAAAUCCUAAAAUCACUAAUAAAUUAAUUUCUCACAAAUUAAAGCUCGAAUAAAUAAACGAACUACACCACAACAAUCAGCAUGAAAUUCCGGUUACCAGUCAUCCCGGUUGAAUUUCCGGAAAAUAAUUAAUUAAAUAAUUAGUUUCGAAAAUUAAAUAAAUAAAUACAAUAAUUUCAAUUUAGCACAAUAUAAAGCUCAAUUAAUUAAAUGAACUGCGCCACGAUCAUCAACAUAAAAUCCCGGUCACUAGCCAUCCCAGUUGAAUUUCCGGGAAAUAAAUAAUUAAAUAAUUAAUUUCGAAAAUUAAUAUUUAAUUCCUAAAAAUUCCACCUAGGCCCGAUUUGCUUAAUUAACACCUGAUAAGGGACGGAAAAAAUCCCAAGAAGCAUCCAAUAAAUACUAUAGGCAAUUCUCUAUCUAAUUACACUAAUCACACAACUAAUAUGCAAAGCAAUUAACUAAUAAUCACUAAUCAAUUCUAAUCUAACCACCUAAUUACACUUAAUUAACACUAAUCAACCUUUAAGUAUAAUUAGUACACUAAGAAGGCAUUAGUGAGUAAAACUCACUCAAAACGACGGGCUCGACGCGAGGAUCGACUUUCCUCAAAGCGGGCCGAGCAUCCGGGCUCGGGAAGACGGCCAAAACGGGC
Molecule: long non-coding RNA, 1858 nt
Filed under: Eucalyptus grandis
Lineage: Eukaryota; Viridiplantae; Streptophyta; Magnoliopsida; Myrtales; Myrtaceae
Description: long non-coding RNA (EGRA_LNC005456)
Source: RNAcentral